This 465-nucleotide ribosomal RNA is filed under the name uncultured bacterium. RNAcentral's name for it is "partial 16S ribosomal RNA". It matches the Rfam family "Bacterial small subunit ribosomal RNA", at positions 28 to 507 of the family's 1533-position model. The record is from RNAcentral.
GACGAACGCUGGCGGCGUGCUUAACGCAUGCAAGUCGAACGGAAAGGCCCCUUCGGGGGUACUCGAGUGGCGAACGGGGGAGUAACACGUGAGUAACCUGCCCUUGACUUCGGGAUAACUGCAGGAAACUGGGGCUAAUACCGGAGAGGAAUCCUUGCUGCAUGGUGGGGGUUGGAAAGCUUCGGCGGUUUUGGAUGGACUCGCGGCGUAUCAGCUUGUUGGUGGGGGAGUGGCUUACCAAGGGUUGGACGGGUAGCCGGCCUGUGAGGGCGACCGGCCACCUUCGGCCUGGGGUCCGGGCCAGGCUCCUACGGGAGGCAGCAGUGGGGAAUGUUGCACCAUGGGCGGUGGCCUAAUGCCGCAACGCCGCGUGCGGGAUGACGGACUUCGGGUUGUAGAUCGUUUUCAGCAGGGGCGAAGCUUGUGGUGACGGUACCUGCAGAAGAAGCCCCGGCUAACUACGUG